This 497-nucleotide ribosomal RNA is filed under the name uncultured bacterium. RNAcentral describes it as "partial 16S ribosomal RNA". It matches the Rfam family "Bacterial small subunit ribosomal RNA", at positions 28 to 507 of the family's 1533-position model. The record is from RNAcentral.
GAUGAACGCUGGCGGCGUGCCUAAUACAUGCAAGUCGAGCGAACGGACGAGAAGCUUGCUUCUCUGAUGUUAGCGGCGGACGGGUGAGUAACACGUGGAUAACCUACCUAUAAGACUGGGAUAACUUCGGGAAACCGUAGCUAAUACCGGAUAAUAUUUUGAACCGCAUGGUUCAAAAGUGAAGGACGGUCUUGCGGUCACUUAUAGAUGGAUCCGCGCUGCAUUAGCUAGUUGGUAAGGUAACGGCUUACCAAGGCAACGAUGCAUAGCCGACCUGAGAGGGUGAUCGGCCACACUGGAACUGAGACACGGUCCAGACUCCUACGGGAGGCAGCAGUAGGGAAUCUUCCGCAAUGGGCGAAAGCCUGACGGAGCAACGCCGCGUGAGUGAUGAAGGUCUUCGGAUCGUAAAACUCUGUUAUUAGGGAAGAACAUAUGUGUAAGUAACUGUGCACAUCUUGACGGUACCUAAUCAGAAAGCCACGGCUAACUACGUG